CCAACGGCCCUCUUUAGGGCCACAAAUUUUCAAAUAAUCCUAAAAU
Molecule: non-coding RNA, 46 nt
Filed under: Caenorhabditis brenneri
Lineage: Eukaryota; Metazoa; Nematoda; Chromadorea; Rhabditida; Rhabditidae
Description: sRNA CBN34153
Rfam family: Histone 3' UTR stem-loop
About the family: The mRNAs of metazoan histone genes lack a poly-A tail.
Source: RNAcentral